RNAcentral lists this ribosomal RNA (253 nucleotides) under uncultured bacterium. Its description in RNAcentral is "partial 16S ribosomal RNA". It matches the Rfam family "Bacterial small subunit ribosomal RNA", at positions 524 to 776 of the family's 1533-position model. The record is from RNAcentral.
UACAGGGGGUGCGAGCGUUAAUCGGAUUUACUGGGCGUAAAGGGCGCGUAGGUGGUAAAGCAAGUAAGAUGUGAAAGCCCUGGGCUUAACCUGGGAAGUGCAUCUUAAACUGCUUAACUAGAGUACGAUAGAGGGUAGUGGAAUUUCCGGUGUAGCGGUGAAAUGCGUAGAUAUCGGAAGGAACGCCAGUGGUGAAGACGACUACCUGGAUCGAUACUGACACUGAGGCGCGAAAGCGUGGGGAUCAAACAGG